GAAAGGCCAAUCAAACCGGGAGAUAGCUGGUUCUCCCCGAAAGCUAUUUAGGUAGCGCCUCGUGAACUCAUCUCCGGGGGUAGAGCACUGUUUCGGCAAGGGGGUCAUCCCGACUUACCAACCCGAUGCAAACUGCGAAUACCGGAGAAUGUUAUCACGGGAGACACACGGCGGGUGCUAACGUCCGUCGUGAAGAGGGAAACAACCCAGACCGCCAGCUAAGGUCCCAAAGUCAUGGUUAAGUGGGAAACGAUGUGGGAAGGCCCAGACAGCCAGGAUGUUGGCUUAGAAGCAGCCAUCAUUUAAAGAAAGCGUAAUAGCUCACUGGUCGAGUCGGCCUGCGCGGAAGAUGUAACGGGGCUAAACCAUGCACCGAAGCUGCGGCAGCGACGCUUAUGCGUUGUUGGGUAGGGGAGCGUUCUGUAAGCCUGUGAAGGUGUGCUGUGAGGCAUGCUGGAGGUAUCAGAAGUGCGAAUGCUGACAUAAGUAACGAUAAAGCGGGUGAAAAGCCCGCUCGCCGGAAGACCAAGGGUUCCUGUCCAACGUUAAUCGGGGCAGGGUGAGUCGACCCCUAAGGCGAGGCCGAAAGGCGUAGUCGAUGGGAAACAGGUUAAUAUUCCUGUACUUGGUGUUACUGCGAAGGGGGGACGGAGAAGGCUAUGUUGGCCGGGCGACGGUUGUCCCGGUUUAAGCGUGUAGGCUGGUUUUCCAGGCAAAUCCGGAAAAUCAAGGCUGAGGCGUGAUGACGAGGCACUACGGUGCUGAAGCAACAAAUGCCCUGCUUCCAGGAAAAGCCUCUAAGCAUCAGGUAACAUCAAAUCGUACCCCAAACCGACACAGGUGGUCAGGUAGAGAAUACCAAGGCGCUUGAGAGAACUCGGGUGAAGGAACUAGGCAAAAUGGUGCCGUAACUUCGGGAGAAGGCACGCUGAUAUGUAGGUGAAGUCCCUCGCGGAUGGAGCUGAAAUCAGUCGAAGAUACCAGCUGGCUGCAACUGUUUAUUAAAAACACAGCACUGUGCAAACACGAAAGUGGACGUAUACGGUGUGACGCCUGCCCGGUGCCGGAAGGUUAAUUGAUGGGGUUAGCGGUAACGCGAAGCUCUUGAUCGAAGCCCCGGUAAACGGCGGCCGUAACUAUAACGGUCCUAAGGUAGCGAAAUUCCUUGUCGGGUAAGUUCCGACCUGCACGAAUGGCGUAAUGAUGGCCAGGCUGUCUCCACCCGAGACUCAGUGAAAUUGAACUCGCUGUGAAGAUGCAGUGUACCCGCGGCAAGACGGAAAGACCCCGUGAACCUUUACUAUAGCUUGACACUGAACAUUGAGCCUUGAUGUGUAGGAUAGGUGGGAGGCUUUGAAGUGUGGACGCCAGUCUGCAUGGAGCCGACCUUGAAAUACCACCCUUUAAUGUUUGAUGUUCUAACGUUGACCCGUAAUCCGGGUUGCGGACAGUGUCUGGUGGGUAGUUUGACUGGGGCGGUCUCCUCCUAAAGAGUAACGGAGGAGCACGAAGGUUGGCUAAUCCUGGUCGGACAUCAGGAGGUUAGUGCAAUGGCAUAAGCCAGCUUGACUGCGAGCGUGACGGCGCGAGCAGGUGCGAAAGCAGGUCAUAGUGAUCCGGUGGUUCUGAAUGGAAGGGCCAUCGCUCAACGGAUAAAAGGUACUCCGGGGAUAACAGGCUGAUACCGCCCAAGAGUUCAUAUCGACGGCGGUGUUUGGCACCUCGAUGUCGGCUCAUCACAUCCUGGGGCUGAAGUAGGUCCCAAGGGUAUGGCUGUUCGCCAUUUAAAGUGGUACGCGAGCUGGGUUUAGAACGUCGUGAGACAGUUCGGUCCCUAUCUGCCGUGGGCGCUGGAGAACUGAGGGGGGCUGCUCCUAGUACGAGAGGACCGGAGUGGACGCAUCACUGGUGUUCGGGUUGUCAUGCCAAUGGCACUGCCCGGUAGCUAAAUGCGGAAGAGAUAAGUGCUGAAAGCAUCUAAGCACGAAACUUGCCCCGAGAUGAGUUCUCCCUGACUCCUUGAGAGUCCUGAAGGAACGUUGAAGACGACGACGUUGAUAGGCCGGGUGUGUAAGCGCAGCGAUGCGUUGAGCUAACCGGUACUAAUGAACCGUGAGGCUUAACCUUACAACGCCGAAGCUGUU
This 2144-nucleotide ribosomal RNA is filed under the name Escherichia coli. RNAcentral describes it as "bacterial LSU rRNA". It matches the Rfam family "Bacterial large subunit ribosomal RNA", at positions 823 to 2925 of the family's 2925-position model. The record is from RNAcentral. Lineage: Bacteria; Pseudomonadati; Pseudomonadota; Gammaproteobacteria; Enterobacterales; Enterobacteriaceae.